AACCCACGUUUUUCAACUCCAUCCACAAAAUAAAUACGGAGUAAAUAAAUAAAAAUAAGCAAGAGAAAAAGAAAAAGAAAAAGAAAAACUUCUGCACACUCCCACUGCGAAACUCAACCAUCGCUCCCCUAUGCACCAUUGCCUUCAACUGUGUUGGCCACCACCAAACCUUCCUCUCCGUCGAUCUCUCUGCUCCCUUCAAUCAAUUUUCUGCUCUCCUGUGAUUCUCCUCCUCAUCGCUUCUCAUUCUCUCCUCUCCUGUGCAGCUUGUUGGUUUAUAAAUUCAAUUAUUCUUGGCUUGGAGUUUCACUGAUUUCCUCUUCUUCUUUUUUAUUGAUUAAUUGCAAUUAUUUGAUUUUAUUUUUGCAGUUGUUUUUGUUGAAAACUACGGAGUAUGCAGCUUGUUGUACUUAUAUUAUGGAUCUAUGUAUUAAAUGUCAAGCUAAUGCUACGGUUUAGGAGUGCGUAGUUGCCGGGGGUUCGAAAUAUUCACCGAUGCUGACAGCUAUUGGUUUUCCGGUGACUGUUGCACAUAUUUCCACUAACUGUUAUCCUCUAGUGAGAUCGGUUUGAGUCGUCGUGAAGUCUUCUCGAAGAUGCAGUGUUUAAAGAGAUUUACUCUGAGGCAUUUUAGACUCCAGGCCUCCUUGAGGACCUGCUCAUUUACUGAAAGUGCGAAUAUACUUCACAAAUUCAUCAGGCAAUUGGGUUCACUACAAGGUCGAAGACCAGAUAAUGGAUCGAGUGAUUAGCUUAGUCAAGAAGUUCAAAGAAGUUCAAACAAACUGACAUCGCCAAGGGGGAGGGGGACCCUUCUCGCCACAAGAUCUUAUGAUGGCCAGCGAAGAAUUUGGAACAUAAAUGGUGAACUGAAGAGUACACUAAGUAAACAAAAGGAGCCAAUAUUUUCUUUGAAAUGGAACAAAGGGUGAUUAUCUUCUUACGAAAAGCUUUGAUAAAAUAGCCAUUGUGUGGGAUGUGAAGUCAUGAGAGCCUAAGCAACAUUUUGAGUUUCAUACAAGUGAUUUUAUGACGGGAUAUGGUUAACUGUUCACUGGAACUUUCAGUUUUUAAGAAGGUUGUAUGCGUUUUUAUCCUCAAGAUCUUGUAGGUCCGACCUUAGAUGUUUACCGGCGAAAUAAUGUUUAUUUUGCAAAAAGUUCUACAUAUAGCAUGAUAUACGUAGUUGAUUAUUUUUUUGGUUGUGAUUGCUUAUUAUUGGGACAAAAUAAAGCGCUUUGGAGAUA
This is a long non-coding RNA of Spinacia oleracea (spinach), 1247 nucleotides long. RefSeq lists it as uncharacterized. The record is from RefSeq and is a predicted model, not a curated record. Lineage: Eukaryota; Viridiplantae; Streptophyta; Magnoliopsida; Caryophyllales; Amaranthaceae. The transcript has 5 exons.